Molecule: ribosomal RNA, 253 nt
Filed under: uncultured bacterium
Lineage: Bacteria
Description: partial 16S ribosomal RNA
Rfam family: Bacterial small subunit ribosomal RNA
Source: RNAcentral
UACAGAGGGUGCGAGCGUUAAUCGGAAUUACCGGGCGUAAAGCGUGCGUAGACGGUCAUGUAAGUCGGGUGUGAAAUCCCCGGGCUCAACCUGGGAAUUGAAUUCGAGACUGCGUGGCUAGGGUGCGGAAGAGGGAAGCGGAAUUUCCGGUGUAGCGGUGAAAUGCGUAGAUAUCGGAAGGAACAUCAGUGGCGAAAGCGGCUUCCUGGUCCAGCACCGACGUUCAGGCACGAAAGCGUGGGGAGAAAACAGG